RNAcentral lists this ribosomal RNA (449 nucleotides) under uncultured bacterium. RNAcentral's name for it is "bacterial SSU rRNA". It matches the Rfam family "Bacterial small subunit ribosomal RNA", at positions 8 to 507 of the family's 1533-position model. The record is from RNAcentral.
AGAGUUUGAUCAUGGCUCAGAACGAACGCUGGCGGCAGGCCUAACACAUGCAAGUCGAGCGCCCCGCAAGGGGAGCGGCGGACGGGUGAGUAACGCGUGGGAACGUGCCUCUUGCUAUGGAAUAGCCUCGGGAAACUGGGAGUAAUACCGUAUGUGCCCUACGGGGGAAAGAUUUAUCGGCAAGAGAUCGGCCCGCGUUGGAUUAGGUAGUUGGUGGGGUAAUGGCCUACCAAGCCGACGAUCCAUAGCUGGUUUGAGAGGAUGAUCAGCCACACUGGGACUGAGACACGGCCCAGACUCCUACGGGAGGCAGCAGUGGGGAAUCUUAGACAAUGGCGCAAGCCUGAUCUAGCCAUGCCGCGUGAGCGGUGAAGGCCUUAGGGUUGUAAAGCUCUUUCAGUGGGAAGAUAAUGACUGUACCCACAGAAGAAGCCCCGGCUAACUCCGUG